CCUACGGUAGGCAGCAGUGGGGAAUAUUGCGCAAUGGGCGAAAGCCUGACGCAGCGACGCCGCGUGAGGGAUGAAGGUCUUCGGAUCGGUAACCUCUGUCAGCAGGGAAGAACGGUCACUGUGCUAAUCAGCAGUGAAUUGACGGGACCUGCAAAGGAAGCACCGGCUAACUCCGUGCCAGCAGCCGCGGUAAUAAGGAGGGUGCGAGCGGUACUCGGAAUUACUGGGCGUAAAGCGCUCGUAGGAGGUAUGUCAAGUUAAGGGGGGAAUCCCCGCGCGCAACGUGGGAACUGCCUUUGAAACUGGCAAUCGGGAGUGGGUGAGAGGAUAGUGGAAUUACAGGUGUAGGAGUGAAAUCCGUAGAUA
This 366-nucleotide ribosomal RNA is filed under the name uncultured bacterium. RNAcentral describes it as "partial 16S ribosomal RNA". It matches the Rfam family "Bacterial small subunit ribosomal RNA", at positions 338 to 696 of the family's 1533-position model. The record is from RNAcentral.